UACGGGGGGUGCUAGCGUUAUUCGGAAUCAUUGGGAGUAAAGGGCGCGUAGGCGGUCGCUUAAGUCAGAUGUGAAAGCCCUCGGCUUAACCGAGGAAGUGCAUUUGAUACUAAGUGACUUGAGUAUGGGAGAGGGAAGCGGAAUUCCUGGUGUAGCGGUGAAAUGCGUAGAUAUCAGGAGGAACACCGGUGGCGAAGGCGGCUUCCUGGACCAAUACUGACGCUGAGGCGCGAAGGCGUGGGGAGCAAACAGG
RNAcentral lists this ribosomal RNA (253 nucleotides) under uncultured bacterium. RNAcentral's name for it is "partial 16S ribosomal RNA". It matches the Rfam family "Bacterial small subunit ribosomal RNA", at positions 524 to 776 of the family's 1533-position model. The record is from RNAcentral.